AGUGAACGCUGGCGGUAGGCCUAACACAUGCCAGUCGAACGGCAGCACAGUAAGAGCUUGCUCUUACGGGUGGCGAGUGGCGGACGGGUGAGGAAUAAAUCGGAAUCUACUUUUUCGUGGGGGAUAACGUAGGGAAACUUACGCUAAUACCGCAUACGACCUACGGGUGAAAGCAGGGGAUCUUCGGACCUUGCGCGAUUGAAUGAGCCGAUGUCGGAUUAGCUAGUUGGCGGGGUAAAGGCCCACCAAGGCGACGAUCCGUAGCUGGUCUGAGAGGAUGAUCAGCCACACUGGAACUGAGACACGGUCCAGACUCCUACGGGAGGCAGCAGUGGGGAAUAUUGGACAAUGGGCGCAAGCCUGAUCCAGCCAUACCGCGUGAGUGAAGAAGGCCUUCGGGUUGUAAAGCCCUUUUGUUGGGAAAGAAAAGCAGCAGGUUAAUACCCCGCUGUUCUGACGGUACCCAAAGAAUAAGCACCGGCUAACUUCGUG
RNAcentral lists this ribosomal RNA (492 nucleotides) under uncultured bacterium. Its description in RNAcentral is "partial 16S ribosomal RNA". It matches the Rfam family "Bacterial small subunit ribosomal RNA", at positions 29 to 507 of the family's 1533-position model. The record is from RNAcentral.